RNAcentral lists this long non-coding RNA (1054 nucleotides) under Anser cygnoides (Swan goose). RNAcentral describes it as "lncRNA (ENSACDG00005012927.1)". The record is from RNAcentral. Lineage: Eukaryota; Metazoa; Chordata; Aves; Anseriformes; Anatidae.
AAUACAUACAUUCUCCAACAGAUAUUUUAAAACCAAACAACGACAGUUUGAACUUGACAUUCAUUCAGGAACUUGGCCUGCUCAAGAUUAAUUGAGGUUGUAAUGAUACAACCUAGGAUGACAAAAUAUUUGAGGUUUUACAAAGACUAAUUCAUACCAGACUUUGUGCAGUAACACAUUUCAGUUACAAAAGUAGUGGUAUCAAACUGAUAGUUACCAAUGGCAUAAAUGAGGGAAACUGACUGAAAUAAAAUCUGGUGACGAUUGCUCUCUAAGCUGCACCUUGCAGUGUAUGAAUUCCAGCCUAAAUUCCAUAUAUAUUUUUUUUUUCCAUCCCUCUCUCCCCAGCAAGCCCAGCUAUAUAUACACCCUUGGUCACUGCAUACGGGAACCAAAGACAGCCAAACAGAUCUACAAUUAUAGGUCAUUAGCAUGAUGCAGAAGAGCUCUAUUGUCCAAAACAGAUAAUAACCAAGUUCUGACUGCCUGCUUUCCAGAAGCUGGACAUCCAGGCAUCUUUCCACCUGAGCGAGUGCACCAAACAAUGGACUUGUUUAUAAGAGAUGAUCAUCAGUUUAAAAGGAGGAAAAGCUGUGAAAAGGGUUCAGUUCUCUGAGAGAAAGAUGGUCAGUGCUUUACUUUUGGAACAAAUUUACAAUCCAUGGAUUCCUCCUUGAAGGCCUGAGAGAAACACUGCUGAAGAAGGAGGAGAGUUCAGAGCCUACAAUGUCUUCCAUAUUUCCUUUACAAGCUGGAGCAGGUUCAACGCUGGGAUUCUGCCUAAUCUCCUUCUUGUACUAGUAGGCAAAAUUUAACAUUCUGCAUACCAUUUAUACCUAAAGGCUAGGGGCUGCAGUCAUUAAAUGCUUAAAUCUCUAUUUCAGUUGCCCAUCUGUAAAAAAUUCUAUUUUCCUUUUACUCUUUAUCUUCUCUGAUGCUACCUACGGAAUUUCUUUGAGUCAGCCAUUGACCAUUACUACAAGUUCAUUGCAAUGUAUUUGUAGGUACUGUCACAUUACAGAUAAAUAACAUAAUAAAUAGUUGUCAGUAAACA